GUCUAUGGCCACACCGCCCUGAAUGCGCCUGAUCUUGUCUGAUUUCGGAAGCUAAGCAGGGUCGCGCCUGGUUUGUACUUGGAUGGGAGAAUUUAGUGCUUGAACACUAUUGCUGUAGAUU
Molecule: ribosomal RNA, 121 nt
Organism: Nomascus leucogenys (northern white-cheeked gibbon)
Lineage: Eukaryota; Metazoa; Chordata; Mammalia; Primates; Hylobatidae
Source: Ensembl